AGGUCGCACCCGCCUGCUCAGCCCCGCCUGGGCGCUGCUCCGCGGUCCCUGGGCCCCGUCUGACUUGGUCUGUAAAGGCGUCUCAGAGACUCAACCACCUUAGCUUCCAAAGUCCUGCCCUUCCAUUUCUGAAGUCGAGAUGCGACCAGAGAGCGCGCGGAGGGAUGAAUGGGAUGAGGCCCUUCACAGGCCGACCACACGCUUUCCUGCCGUGGACGCUGCUCCAGGGCUGUGGCCGCGGGUCUCGCGUGUGCAGCGGCUCGGGAGGUGCUUACUGUUACUGCCCCCGUGGGCCGCGAGGGAGCACAGGCGCAGAGAGGGCGAGAAACCUGUUCCAGAUCACACAGCUGUGACUUUCCUGAAGUAUAGUUGACCUACUACAGACUGUGAACACAUUUGAAAUAAAAUUUGGUGGAUGUCUGGUGGCUCCAGCACUGUCCUGUCUCCACUAGCUUCCCUUGGCACUUUUGUUGAAUGGACUGGCCAGAUACAGUUUUUUAGUUGUUUCAGGCAGGAAUUGUAAACCCAGGUCCUGCUAUUCCAUCUUGACUGGAAAUGGCAGACCAACGAACCAAGGCUUUGGAUCCCAAAUUGUGUGCUCUUUCCACAAGAAGCCUGAUGGAAGAGAGGUGACGGCUGGUCUUGGAGCUGUGGUUGGAGGUCUCAGGCUGCCUCUGGGCUUAACCCCUCCUUGAGUUUGUUGACGAAGGUCGAAGCCUGAGCACCAGUGACGUUUCCAGCUGCUGGCCGCCACGAAGACGGGGCAGCACAAGUUCCACGGCAGCUCAGAAGGUUAGCUCGAGCUUCAGCCUGGCAGCCAACGAUCACCGGGACGACCGGUCCUGACCCAGCUGCUCAGCUCUCGUGGAGCCAACUUAAUUACACAGUUGGAACAGCUGCUCGAGCCGGCCAAUGACACAGGGCAAGAAUCAGUCAAGGGAGAAACAAGGCGGGAUUAAUCUGGGGUCUCACUCGUUAAGACCUCCUGCUGUCAUCCCUUGCCAAGCCACUGAGCUGUCACUUCUUAGAAAAUGAUCACAUACCUCCAGCUGCUCUUCCUAAUUCCCUUGAUUUUGCAGAAAUCAUAACAACCCCAGGAGUCGUCAAAAGCCCGGAGCACGUAAUUUGUUCCACUCAGGAAAAUCCUUCCAAGGAGCCUGGGGGUAGUCCACAGGGCCCGGCCUUCUCUCCUUCCACCUUCCUGCCUGCCUCUUCUCGUCCCCUCUGGCUGCUGGAGUGCGGCUGAAGGUGGGCGUCAG
RNAcentral lists this long non-coding RNA (1259 nucleotides) under Equus caballus (horse). RNAcentral describes it as "lncRNA (ENSECAG00000058734.1)". Lineage: Eukaryota; Metazoa; Chordata; Mammalia; Perissodactyla; Equidae. The record is from RNAcentral.